UACGUAGGGUGCAAGCGUUGUCCGGAAUUAUUGGGCGUAAAGAGCUCGUAGGCGGUCUGUCGCGUCUGCUGUGAAAACUCAGGGCUUAACCCUGAGCUUGCAGUGGGUACGGGCAGACUAGAGUGCGGUAGGGGAGACUGGAAUUCCUGGUGUAGCGGUGAAAUGCGCAGAUAUCAGGAAGAACACCGGUGGCGAAGGCGGCUCGCUGGGCCAGAUCCGACACUCAUCCGCGAAAGCGUGGGGAGCAAACAGG
Molecule: ribosomal RNA, 253 nt
Filed under: uncultured bacterium
Lineage: Bacteria
Description: partial 16S ribosomal RNA
Rfam family: Bacterial small subunit ribosomal RNA
Source: RNAcentral